CUUAGGAAGUGAUCGCGCUGUACCCACGCUUCGGAGGGGACGCCCGGCCCCGUCCUACAGCUCAGAGGCAGAACGACCCCCGAGGGCGCUUCAGGCGACUCCCUCUGCCAGGUUCCAUUUAAAACAAAACCGAAGGUGGAAAACUCACUGAUCUUCCGGAUGGAGGUUCCUACCGCCAUGUCCCUUCCUCCCCCGCCCCACCGGGCAAGGACCCCGGGGCUGCCUCGCCGGCUCAUGCCGCCCCGCAUGUGGGGGCCGAGCCCGGCCGCGCGCACAGCUUCUAGUGGCCCGCAAGAUUCCUCCUGGGGCGGCGCUGGGAGCCUCGGGGCUCGGCUUCCUCGACCCCCGCCCCCAGGUUUCCUCUGCAGCCUGAGGUCGGGAAGGACGGACGGAGAGUGGAUCCUCCAGGUGGUGGGAAAAGCUUAACAGCCUGGUGCCAGUUACCCUGCGGGUAUCUUCCACGGACCUGUGACCUGUCGCUGUGUACAAGCUUGAAUUCCUAACUACGAGUCCUUGAAGCUCCCUUGCUGCCUGAGCGGAACUGAAAUGGCUCCCGGCUGAGGCAUUCAAGGGAAAACUCACUGAAAUAUUUGAAACUACCACCAUGAACAAGAAUGCUCUUCCAGUGUGCCAGGAUGUACACCCAGAGCAUUAUCCUCAUUAGUUGUAUAUGCCAGCAUCCGGCAGGCGCUUUUAUCUUCUUUGGGUGUCAACUUUGAGAUUCUUAUGUAAGCUGCGACCUCUUCCUCUGCCUGCAAGCACAUCCACCCACAACCACGUGUUGCCUGGUUUAGAGGAGUGACUGGUGCAGUGAAGCUCAGACCAGAAUGCAGCUGUGAUUGCAGGAACAAAGCUGCUAUCUUGGGGCAUGAGGUGAUCUAGAAGAUACAACCACCUUCAGUCAAAGUGCCUGAGGGAAUGACAGGAGAAGCUGGGCUCUCUGAUAAGAUCACAGAUCCAGUGCACAGGGGAGGAUUGCCUCCCUUCAGAUUCCUUUCAUGUGAAAGGACAGACCUUUCUAUGGGUAACUGUGUCCUCCCAGAAACCUAUGGAGAGCUGAAGGGGUUUUAGGAUUGUGGAAUCCACCCUCCUCGUUUGGUAAAAGAGGACAAAGGCCACAGAGCAGUGCGCUGGCUGAGGCAUGCGAUU
This 1149-nucleotide long non-coding RNA is filed under the name Homo sapiens (human). RNAcentral's name for it is "HSALNT0157588". The record is from RNAcentral. Lineage: Eukaryota; Metazoa; Chordata; Mammalia; Primates; Hominidae.